CCAUGUCUCCUCUCACUUGUGUUCUUUCCAGACUAAAAAGCUCCAGGUUUUUCAACCUUUACUUGUAGAAGAGCUCCUCCAGACCCUUGAUUUGCUGACAAUGAGAUCUUCUCUGUACCAGCUGUUUAGCCUACUGGCUUGUCAAGGCACAGUNGGGGGACUGGAAAAGGAACUGGCCACUGGAGUACGGUCAACAGGAGUUUGCCAUGCUGGAAGGGGAUACUGCUUGCCACGCAGAUUUGCCUGCUCCUUAGGUUUUGUGUUCAAGGAAACAUACAACUGCCCCAACCCAGCAGCAACAAAAUGCUGUCUUGGCAGAAAAAUUGGAUAGGAAGCGUCUGCAGAGCCUGAAAGGAAUGUUCUUCAAUCAAGAAAAAUAACUUGCUUCAUUCUAUCCAAUAAAGUCACCUUUGAAUUGCA
This 420-nucleotide long non-coding RNA is filed under the name Salvator merianae (Argentine black and white tegu). RNAcentral's name for it is "lncRNA (ENSSMRG00000013214.1)". Lineage: Eukaryota; Metazoa; Chordata; Lepidosauria; Squamata; Teiidae. The record is from RNAcentral.